UCUGGUAGUGAUGGCGGAAAGGUCACACCUGUUCCCAUACCGAACACAGCAGUUAAGCUUUCCAGCGCCGAUGGUAGUUGAGACUUUGUCUCUGCGAGAGUAGGACGCCGCCAGGC
RNAcentral lists this ribosomal RNA (116 nucleotides) under Ralstonia pickettii. Lineage: Bacteria; Pseudomonadati; Pseudomonadota; Betaproteobacteria; Burkholderiales; Burkholderiaceae. The record is from RNAcentral. RNAcentral also lists the same sequence under 1 other name.